GACGAACGCUGGCGGCGUGCCUAAUACAUGCAAGUCGAACGCAGUGGGGACGGGUGAGUAACACGUGGGUAACCUCCCAUCAGAGGGGAUAACACUUGGAAACAGGUGCUAAACCGCUACUGAUGGAUGGACCCGCGGUGCAUUAGCUAGUUGGUGAGGUAACGGCUCACAAAGGCCACGAUGCAUAGCCGACCUGAGAGGGUGGGCGGCCACACUGGGACUUAGACACGGCCCAGACUCCUACGGGAGGCAGCAGUGGGGAAUCUUCGGUAAUUGACGAUAGUCUGACAGAGCAACGCCGCGUGAGUGAAGAAGGUUGUCGGAUCGGAAUACUCUGUUGUUAGAGAAGCGGUAUCUAACCAGAAAGCCACGGCUAACUAGGUGCCAGCGGCCGCGGUAAUCC
This 403-nucleotide ribosomal RNA is filed under the name uncultured bacterium. RNAcentral describes it as "partial 16S ribosomal RNA". It matches the Rfam family "Bacterial small subunit ribosomal RNA", at positions 28 to 526 of the family's 1533-position model. The record is from RNAcentral.